RNAcentral lists this unclassified non-coding RNA (1232 nucleotides) under Hevea brasiliensis (rubber tree). Lineage: Eukaryota; Viridiplantae; Streptophyta; Magnoliopsida; Malpighiales; Euphorbiaceae. The record is from RNAcentral.
AUUAAAAAAAAAAAAAAAAAAAAAAACAGCAGAACGUGAAAAAUGGAGGCUCUGGUGUGUGUGAAAUUGGGGGAUCCAGUGGGGAAAAUGGACGAGAAUUCCCCAAUAGUAUUGAGCAAAAACCACCCAAUUCCACAACUGGACUCCCCCACCGCAGUUAGAGUGAGAGUGAAAGCCACAAGCUUGAACUAUGCCAAUUACCUCCAGAUUUUGGGCAAAUACCAAGAAAAGCCUCCCCUGCCUUUCGUCCCUGGCUCCGAUUACUCCGGUAUUGUCGAUGCCGUCGGUCCUAAUGUCUCCAUUUUCAAGGUUGGGGACCGUGUCUGUUCCUUCGCUUCCCUCGGCUCCUUCGCUCAAUUCAUCGUCGCGGAUCAAUCCCAACUGUUUCGAGUGCCAGAGGGAUGUGAUCUGGUGGAGGCCGCUGCACUGCCCGUCGCUUUUGGAACCUCCCAUGUCGCUCUUGUCCACAGAGCUCACUUGACCUCUUCUCAGGUGUUGCUGGUUCUUGGAGCCGCUGGAGGUGUUGGCCUUUCUGCUGUACAAAUUGGCAAGGUUUGUGGUGCCAUUGUUAUUGCCGUUGCUAGGGGAGAUGAAAAGGUAGAGUUUUUGAAGUCAUUGGGAAUAGAUCAUGUGGUGGACUCUAGCAAAGAAAACGUUACUGUGAGUGUCAAGGACUUCCUCAACGCAAGAAAACUUAAAGGUGUAGAUGUUUUGUAUGAUCCUGUUGGAGGCAAGUCCACUAAAGAAGCCUUGAAACUUCUGAAUUGGGGUGCUCAAAUUCUGGUCAUUGGGUUUGCUAGUGGGGAAAUACCUGUCAUCCCAGCAAAUAUUGCUCUGGUUAAGAACUGGACCAUACAUGGACUUUAUUGGGGUAGCCACAGAACACAUCGUCCAGGUUUUCUGGAAGAUUCUUUCGGGGAGCUACUCUCUUGGAUGGAAAAGGGCCUGAUUACUAUCCACAUUUCUCAUAUUUACAGCAUGUCAGAGGCAAGCCUCGCCUUUUGUGCUAUUAGAGAUCGGAAAGCUAUUGGAAAGGUGAUGAUUGCUUUUGAUGAUAAAACAAGUCCAACAUCUAAGCUUUGAUUUAGUCAGGCUUGAGCAGGAAUAGAAUGCAGAAUGUAAUCCUUGGCUCUUGAAUAUCAGAAUCUUGUCCUUACAAUCCUUAACCACUACAUAAUGUCAUAAUUUGUAGAUUCUAUGAUCAGAUUCUGAUAUUCAAGAGCCAAGGAUUA